ACCGGCAAACGGGUGCGGAACACGUACACAACCUUCCUAUAAGUGGGGAAUAGCCCAGAGAAAUUUGGAUUAAUACCCCGUAACAUAACGAUGUGGCAUCACAUUGUUAUUAUAGCUUCGGCGCUUAUUGAUGGGUGUGCGGCUGAUUAGAUAGUUGGCGGGGUAACGGCCCACCAAGUCUACGAUCAGUAGCUGAUGUGAGAGCAUGAUCAGCCACACGGGCACUGAGACACGGGCCCGACUCCUACGGGAGGCAGCAGUAAGGAAUAUUGGUCAAUGGACGCAAGUCUGAACCAGCCAUGCCGCGUGAAGGAUUAAAGUCCUCUGGAUUGUAAACUUCUUUUAUCUGGGACGAAAAAAGGCUUUUCUAAGUCACUUGACGGUACCAGAUGAAUAAGCACCGGCUAACUCCGUGCCAGCAGCCGCGGUAAUACGGAGGGUGCAAGCGUUAUCCGGAUUCACUGGGUUUAAAGGGUGCGUAGGCGGGCAGGUAAGUCAGUGGUGAAAUCCUGGAGCUUAACUCCAGAACUGCCAUUGAUACUAUCUGUCUUGAAUAUUGUGGAGGUAAGCGGAAUAUGUCAUGUAGCGGUGAAAUGCUUAGAUAUGACAUAGAACACCUAUUGCGAAGGCAGCUUACUACGCAUAUAUUGACGCUGAGGCACGAAAGCGUGGGGAUCAAACAGGAUUAGAUACCCUGGUAGUCCACGCCCUAAACGAUGGAUACUCGACAUACGCG
This 736-nucleotide ribosomal RNA is filed under the name uncultured Chitinophagaceae bacterium. RNAcentral describes it as "bacterial SSU rRNA". It matches the Rfam family "Bacterial small subunit ribosomal RNA", at positions 94 to 828 of the family's 1533-position model. Lineage: Bacteria; Pseudomonadati; Bacteroidota; Chitinophagia; Chitinophagales; Chitinophagaceae. The record is from RNAcentral.